This 29-nucleotide small RNA is filed under the name Bombyx mori (domestic silkworm). RNAcentral describes it as "piRNA piR-bmo-2140185". Lineage: Eukaryota; Metazoa; Arthropoda; Insecta; Lepidoptera; Bombycidae. The record is from RNAcentral.
UAAAGACGGACAUUAGAACCGCGAUACCC